UGAGCAACCUGCCCCUGGCUCUGGGAUAACCCCGGGAAACCGGAGCUAAUACCGGAUACGAGACCGAUUGGCAUCUUUACGGUCUGGAAAGUUUUUCGGCCAGGGAUGGGCUCGCGGCCUAUCGGCUUGUUGGUGAGGUAAUGGCCCACCAAGGCGACGACGGGUAGCCGGCCUGAGAGGGCGACCGGCCACACUGGGACUGAGAUACGGCCCAGACUCCUACGGGAGGCA
Molecule: ribosomal RNA, 231 nt
Filed under: uncultured bacterium
Lineage: Bacteria
Description: partial 16S ribosomal RNA
Rfam family: Bacterial small subunit ribosomal RNA
Source: RNAcentral